GGCCUCGUAGCUCAGCCGGUAGAGCGCUCACGGUACUAGAGCAAGGGUGGCAACCACGCGUGGUUUCGAAUCCCACCGGGGCCA
This 84-nucleotide transfer RNA is filed under the name Fasciola gigantica. It matches the Rfam family "tRNA". Rfam says of the family: Transfer RNA (tRNA) molecules are approximately 80 nucleotides in length. Their secondary structure includes four short double-helical elements and three loops (D, anti-codon, and T loops). The record is from Rfam by way of RNAcentral. Lineage: Eukaryota; Metazoa; Platyhelminthes; Trematoda; Plagiorchiida; Fasciolidae.